Molecule: ribosomal RNA, 248 nt
Filed under: Coprinopsis sp. 3 CRJH-2017
Lineage: Eukaryota; Fungi; Basidiomycota; Agaricomycetes; Agaricales; Psathyrellaceae
Description: partial 28S ribosomal RNA
Rfam family: Eukaryotic large subunit ribosomal RNA
Source: RNAcentral
GAAGCUCAAAUUUAAAAUCUGGUAGUCCUUGGCUGCCCGAGUUGUAAUCUAGAGAAGUGUUACCCGUGCUGGACCGUGUACAAGUCUCCUGGAAUGGAGCGUCAUAGAGGGUGAGAAUCCCGUCUUUGACACGGACUGCCAGUGCUUUUGUGGUGCGCUCUCGACGAGUCGAGUUGUUUGGGAAUGCAGCUCAAAAUGGGUGGUGAAUUCCAUCUAAAGCUAAAUAUUGGCGAGAGACCGAUAGCGAA